This 2162-nucleotide ribosomal RNA is filed under the name uncultured fungus. RNAcentral's name for it is "bacterial SSU rRNA". The stretch from base 1091 to 2162 matches the Rfam family "Eukaryotic large subunit ribosomal RNA", at positions 1 to 941 of the family's 3401-position model. Lineage: Eukaryota; Fungi. The record is from RNAcentral.
GCGGCUUAAUUUGACUCAACACGGGAAAACUCACCAGGUCCGGACAUAGUAAGGAUUGACAGAUUGAGAGCUCUUUCAUGAUUCUAUUGGGUGGUGGUGCAUGGCCGUUCUUAGUUGGUGGAGUGAUUUGUCUGGUUAAUUCCGUUAACGAACGAGACCUUAACCUGCUAAAUAGUAUUACGAACCGGCGUUCGAGGAUGCUUCUUAGAGGGACUGACCACGUUUAGUGGUAGGAAGUUUGAGGCAAUAACAGGUCUGUGAUGCCCUUAGAUGUUCUGGGCCGCACGCGCGCUACACUGACAAAGUCAGCGAGUAUAUAACCUUGGCCGGAAGGUCUGGGCAAUCUUGUGAAACUUUGUCGUGCUGGGGAUAGACCAUUGCAAUUAUUGGUCUUCAACGAGGAAUUCCUAGUAAGCGCAAGUCAUCAGCUUGCGUUGAUUACGUCCCUGCCCUUUGUACACACCGCCCAUCGCUACUACCGAUUGAAUGGCUUAGUGAGGCCUACGGAUUUGGACUGUGGCCGCAAGGCUGCAAGUUUGGAGAAGCCGGUCAAACUUGGUCAUUUAGAGGAAGUAAAAGUUGUAACAAGGUUUCCGUAGGUGAACCUGCGGAAGGAUCAUUAACAAAUCCAUAUGAGCCAAGAUCAUCGCUGGUUUUGGUGAAUAUUUAACCGCCGGUCCGGUCACGGACUGGUUGGAAUAUAAAUGUGUGUUAUGUUGACAGUGUGUGUGUAAAUUUAAUUAUUGACAACUUUUAACAAUGGAUCUCUAGGCUCUUGCAGCGAUGAAGAACGCAGCAAAGUGCGAAAAGUGUUGCGAUUUGCACGAAUCUGUGAGUCAUCUAAUUUUUGAACGCGAAUGGCACUGCUAUGUGAGUAGCAGUAUGUCUGUUUGAGAAUCGCAAAACACGAUCAACUCUAGUUAGAGUUGGGACUGGCCUUAUAUGCCGACUGUGGUGUAUUUGGUCUGAAUGUAUCAAGUUGAUGAGUUCCCCAGUGCGGCUCAAUGUGUGCUAGCGAGACAGUCGUCCCGAUCUCACAUUCUGGCCGUGUUGCAGAGCUCUGAGCACAACUUCUUUUAAUCAUUGAAUACGAUCUCAAAUCAGUCAAGAUUACCCGCUGAACUUAAGCAUAUCAAUAAGCGGAGGAAAAGAAACUAACAAGGAUUCCCCUAGUAACGGCGAGUGAAGCGGGAAGAGCUCAAAUUUAAAAUCUGGCGUAACAGCCCGAAUUGUAAUCUAAAGAGGCGCUAUCGGACAAGUGUUUGUCGUACAAGUUCCCUGGAAUGGGACAUCACAGAGGGUGAGAAUCCCGUCUGGACGAUAAACUCGUGGCCAUAUGAGGCGUUCUCAAAGAGUCGAGUUGUUUGGGAUUGCAGCUCAAAAUGGGAGGUAAAUUUCUUCUAAGGCUAAAUAACGGCAAGAGACCGAUAGCAAACAAGUACCGUGAGGGAAAGAUGAAAAGCACCUUGAAAAGGGAGUUAAAAGCGCGUGAAAUUGUUAAAAGGGAAACGAUUGAAGCCAGUAGGGCCACGGAGAGUUCAGCGGUACCCGCUAAACAUUGCUGCGAUGAGAGUGUGUAAUGCACCUCUAGUGGUGUGUGCAGGCGGACUGCCGUGCAUUCUUUCCAUGGCUAGUCAGUGCCAAUUUGAGUCGCCGGAAAAGGACUUGGGGAAGGUGGCCAAUGCUUCGGUAUUGGCUUUAUAGACCCUCGUAGAUGCGGCAAUUUAGAUUGGAAUCAACAACAGCUAACAGGGGUGAAAAAUUUGCAGCUGUGGACGAUGGAGAAUCAGUCGAGUCUCUGUCGGCAUCUAGCUGGAGCAAUUUGUCUCGGAUGCUGCGGUGACUACUGACGAAAUGGCUUUAAACGACCCGUCUUGAAACACGGACCAAGGAGUCUAACAUAUAUGCGAGUAUUUGGGUGGCAAACCCGGAUGCGGAAUGAAAGUGAGUACGAAUGGGAUCCCCGAUUGUGGGCGCACCAUUGACCGAUCUUGAUAUCUCUUGAUAGAUUUGAGUUAGAGCAUAUCUGUUGGGACCCGAAAGAUGGUGAACUAUGCCUGGAUAGGAUGAAGCCAGAGGAAACUCUGGUGGAGGUCCGAAGCCGUUCUGACGUGCAAAUCGAUGGUCAAAUCUGGGUAUAGGGGCGAAAGACUAAUCGAACC